UCCUCUUUACAGAGGCAGUUUGUCCCAAGUCCCCGCCACGGAUUGCUCCGCGCGCUGGUAACAGAACAUGAGGGUUGCGCUCGUUGCGGGACUUAACCCAACAUUUCACAACACGAGCUGACGACAGCCAUGCACCACCUGUGCACCACCCUCGAAGGCUGAUGGCUUUCACCACCGUGCAGGUGCAUGUCAAGCCCUGGUAAGGUUCUUCGCGUUGCAUCGAAUUAAGCCACAUGCUCCACCGCUUGUGCGGGCCCCCGCCAAUUCCUUUGAGUUUCAACCUUGCGGCCGUAGUCCCCAGGCGGCUCACUUAAUGCGUUAGCUGCGGCACCGAGGGUAACCCCCGACACCUAGUGAGCAUCGUUUAUGGCCAAGACUAC
This 380-nucleotide unclassified non-coding RNA is filed under the name uncultured bacterium. RNAcentral describes it as "contains 16S-23S intergenic spacer region". The record is from RNAcentral.